This 496-nucleotide long non-coding RNA is filed under the name Pogona vitticeps (central bearded dragon). RNAcentral's name for it is "lncRNA (ENSPVIG00000022167.1)". The record is from RNAcentral. Lineage: Eukaryota; Metazoa; Chordata; Lepidosauria; Squamata; Agamidae.
AUGGUUAUUGUGAAUAAGGCCCUGUCCAGUUUUUUGGUCUUGUCGUUCUUGGGAAUUAAAACUCCUGUGUUCCUAAAUUAUGCAACGUCAGCUUUCUGGAUGGAAGCCAUUUUGUGUGAGCACCUUAACCACUCUUUAAAACCUUUCCUUUCCUUUCCCUUUGAAUGAUAGCAGAAAAUUGACCUGGUCAAUUGACCAGAUGGGUGGGAUAUAAAUACAAUGAAUGAAUGAAUGAAUGAAUGAAUGAAUGAAUGAAUGAAUGAAUGAAUGAAUGAAUGAAUGAAGUAACGUAUUAUUCAUUGUACCAAAGGGAUGGGACUGAAAGGCCUCGAUGAAAAGCCAGUAGAUUCCAGAGAAAACCUAUGUGGUGAAUUCACAACAUUAUCUGAGUGUAACAUUGUUUCUGUAUUUCAUACAUGUGUUUUGUGAGUCAGAGAAUUUGGACUUACUCCUCUCAAGACAUUGUGUAAAAAUAAAUCCAGCUGAUAUAAAGUCA